This 393-nucleotide ribosomal RNA is filed under the name uncultured bacterium. RNAcentral describes it as "partial 16S ribosomal RNA". It matches the Rfam family "Bacterial small subunit ribosomal RNA", at positions 523 to 918 of the family's 1533-position model. The record is from RNAcentral.
AUACGGAGGAUCCGAGCGUUAUCCGGAUUUAUUGGGUUUAAAGGGAGCGUAGGCGGGAGAUCAAGUCAGCUGUGAAAUGUAGAUGCUCAACAUCUGCACUGCAGUUGAAACUGGUUUUCUUGAGUGCGUAAGGGGCAGGCGGAAUUCGUCGUGUAGCGGUGAAAUGCUUAGAUAUGACGAAGAACUCCGAUCGCGAAGGCAGCCUGCCGGGCCGCGACUGACGCUGAAGCUCGAAGGUGCGGGUAUCGAACAGGAUUAGAUACCCUGGUAGUCCGCACAGUAAACGAUGGAUACUCGCUGUCGGCGAUAUACGGUCGGUGGCCAAGCGAAAGCGUUAAGUAUCCCACCUGGGGAGUACGUUCGCAAGAAUGAAACUUAAAGGAAUUGGCGGGG